RNAcentral lists this non-coding RNA (536 nucleotides) under Trichobilharzia regenti. RNAcentral's name for it is "Eukaryotic small subunit ribosomal RNA". It matches the Rfam family "Eukaryotic small subunit ribosomal RNA", at positions 1195 to 1652 of the family's 1831-position model. The record is from Rfam by way of RNAcentral. Lineage: Eukaryota; Metazoa; Platyhelminthes; Trematoda; Strigeidida; Schistosomatidae.
ACAAGUCGGCUCCUUUUGUGGAUAAAUUGACGAUAUCUGAAUGUUCAACUUGAAGUGGUCUUUGUGAGGACUGACAGAUUGAAAGCUCUUUCUUGAUUCGGUGGAUGGUGGUGCAUGGCAGUUGUUAGUUUGUGGAGCGAUUUUUCUGGUUGAUUCCGGUAACGAACGAAACUUUAACCUACUAAAUAAUAGACUGGUCCUCUGUGCCCGUUCAGGGCACGACUUCUAUUGCUUCUUUAUAGAGUAAUGUGGUUGGGAUCCGGCGGGUACGGUUUUUUACAGUUUCUACUUCUUAGAGGGAUAGACGGCACGUUGAAGUUGUACGAAAUUGAGCAAUAACAGGUCUGUGAUGCCCUUAGAUGUCUGAAGCCACACGUGCGCUACAAUGACGGUGCCAGCGAGUCUGGGAACCUGGCCCGAAAGGGUUGGGCAAACUGUUUCAUCACCGUCGUGACUGGGAUCGGGGCUUGCAAUUAUUCCCCGUGAACGAGGAAUUCCUGGUAAGUGCAAGUCAUAAGCUUGCGCUGAUUACGUCC